Molecule: ribosomal RNA, 252 nt
Filed under: uncultured bacterium
Lineage: Bacteria
Description: partial 16S ribosomal RNA
Rfam family: Bacterial small subunit ribosomal RNA
Source: RNAcentral
UACGUAGGGUGCGAGCGUUGUCCGGAUUUAUUGGGCGUAAAGAGCUCGUAGGCGGUUUGUCGCGUCGGCCGUGAAAUCUCCACGCUUAACGUGGAGCGUGCGGUCGAUACGGGCAGACUUGAGUUCGGUAGGGGAGACUGGAAUUCCUGGUGUAGCGGUGAAAUGCGCAGAUAUCAGGAGGAACACCGGUGGCGAAGGCGGGUCUCUGGGCCGAUACUGACGUGAGGAGCGAAAGCGUGGGGAGCAAACAGG